AUGGCGACGCUCGCCGUGCCGCCUACCGCCGCCGCCCUGCCCGCCCAGGAAGACCCACGCACCAGCGAGAAGCCAUCUGCCGGCGACUCUGCUGCGGAUCCGAGCGAUAUCGACUCCGGGUGGGUUUUCCUCGGGAAGUCUGAUGUGGUUCCGGCGGACCAGGCCGCGGCCGCCGUCGACGCCGCGGGCCGCCGACGCCUCGGCUUCUCGCCGCUGCCGAUGUUACCUAUCUGGGUGCAGAUGGUGCUCGGAGGCGUAGUCUACACGGCCGUGCCGUUCUACAAGAGGGCCAGGCAGAUGGAAGACAAGGCGAUCGAAAACGUGGAAACUGCUUUGGACGUUUUGGAGCGGGCCUCCGAGGUGACGGAGAAGUUCGCUGCUAAUGUGGCCAAUUCCCUACCGGAGGAUGGGUCCCUGCACAAGUUGGCCGAGGAGCUUGAGUACAUUGCGGAGGAAGUCGAUAAGGAUGCACACAAGGCUGAAGUCAUGAUUAAGAAGAUUGAAGCGCUCAGCGACAAGAUCGACGCCGCGGUGGAGCCUGUCAUCGAAAACCUCGAGGAGGAGUUCAAGCCAAACCCAGCAUCCCACGCUGGAUCAGACGCCGAGAAAUGA
This 612-nucleotide ribosomal RNA is filed under the name Triticum aestivum (bread wheat). RNAcentral describes it as "partial small subunit ribosomal RNA". Lineage: Eukaryota; Viridiplantae; Streptophyta; Magnoliopsida; Poales; Poaceae. The record is from RNAcentral.